Molecule: ribosomal RNA, 497 nt
Filed under: uncultured bacterium
Lineage: Bacteria
Description: partial 16S ribosomal RNA
Rfam family: Bacterial small subunit ribosomal RNA
Source: RNAcentral
GAUGAACGCUGGCGGCGUGCCUAAUACAUGCAAGUCGAGCGAACGGACGAGAAGCUUGCUUCUCUGAUGUUAGCGGCGGACGGGUGGGUAACACGUGGAUAACCUACCUAUAAGACUGGGAUAACUUCGGGAAACCGUAGCUAAUACCGGAUAAUAUUUUGAACCGCAUGGUUCAAAAGUGAAAGACGGUCUUGCUGUCACUUAUAGAUGGAUCCGCGCUGCAUUGGCUAGUUGGUAAGGUAACGGCUUACCAAGGCAACGAUGCAUAGCCGACCUGUGAGGGUGAUCGGCCACACUGGAACUGAGACACGGUCCAGACUCCUACGGGAGGCAGCAGUAGGGAAUCUUCCGCAAUGGGCGAAAGCCUGACGGAGCAACGCCGCGUGAGUGAUGAAGGUCUUCGGAUCGUAAAACUCUGUUAUUAGGGAAGAACAUAUGUGUAAGUAACUGUGCACAUCUUGACGGUACCUAAUCAGAAAGCCACGGCUAACUACGUG